UACGUAGGGGCCAAGCGUUGUCCGGAAUUAUUGGGCGUAAAGGGCGCGUAGGCGGCUUUAUAAGUCGGAUGUUAAAUCUACAGGCUCAACCUGUAGCCGCAUCCGAUACUGUUUUGCUGGAGAGUGGUAGAGGAAAGCGGAACUUUCGGUGUAGCGGUGAAAUGCGUAGAUAUCGAAAGGAACACCAGUGGCGAAGGCGGCUUUCUGGACCAUUUCUGACGCUGAGGCGCGAAAGCCAGGGGAGC
RNAcentral lists this ribosomal RNA (245 nucleotides) under uncultured bacterium. RNAcentral's name for it is "partial 16S ribosomal RNA". It matches the Rfam family "Bacterial small subunit ribosomal RNA", at positions 524 to 769 of the family's 1533-position model. The record is from RNAcentral.